UUUUUUAAUUCUUGUUGCAAACAGUGGUUUUUCCAUUGGUAUCUCAGAUGAUCCCCUCCUCGGCCUCAGUGUCUUGUUGAAUAGAAAUAGCCAACCUAUCCUCUAGCUCCUGAACUCUUGCUUUGGGUAUUGUAAGAGACCAAGUUUUGGCUUGAGAACCACAAUGGUCCACAUUGGUUUUGAAAGGAUUGGCACUAGCAACUCAACUAGUUCCAGGAACAAGUUAGUGUUUUUUCUAAGGCUCCAACCCAGGACCUUACAAAUGGGGUGGAGGGAGUGCUCUACCUGAGUUAUACCCCAGCUCCAAGUGUGUGCAUUGAACUCAACCAAGGUGGUUGCAGUUACAAACAAGAUUAGAAUCAUUUCUUGAAGUUUUAAGAUUUCUAAGAUACUUAGCUGGGCCUGGAGAUGUGUAUCUUUAUAAUCCUGGCUACAUGCAAAACAAGAAUGACAAGUUCAAGGCCAUCCUGAGACCCUGGCUCAGAGUUUAAAGGAAAAGGCUCGGAAUGAAGUUCAGUGGUAAAGCGCUUGCCUAGCAGGCUUGAGUCCAGAUAAGAUAGUGUGUUCUCUUUGUCAGGUGCUUCAAAUGGUGAAGGCAGUCAAAGUCAUUCUAGAUGUUUUUACUUUGUUUUUUAAGGUACUCUGGGUUGGACCUAGGGGUGUUGAACCAUAUAGAGUCACAUCAUCAACCCUUUUUAUAUUUUGAUAAAGGGUCUCAAUAGGUUGCUUAGGGUCUUGCUAGAGCUGACUUCAAACUCCAUGUCCUGCCUCCCAAGUCACUGGGAUUACAGUUAUGCUCCACCACCCCAUCCAUCCAAAUAAUAAACAGGGUUAUUGGUGUAGAUGGAACAUAUUUACCUGGGUUUCAUACUCCAAACCUCAGAGAAAAAAAAAUGGGGGUCAGGAGUUGAAUUUGGUGUGCAUAAUGGGUUAUCUUCCACGAAAGUGGUCAGCUGAGUGGUGGUGUUUUUGUUGGUUACUGGUGCCCUACCAAAAUUUCCUCAGCCCUUUUUGUUUUUUUGAGACAGGGUCUCAGUAAGCUUCUGAGGGCCUCACUAAAUCACUGAGGCUGGCCUUGAAUUUGUGAUCCUUCUGUCUCAGCCUGGUGCAUCUCUGGGAUUUUAGGUCUGCACCACUGUGUCUGGCUGAAUUCAUU
This 1156-nucleotide long non-coding RNA is filed under the name Marmota monax (woodchuck). The record is from RNAcentral. Lineage: Eukaryota; Metazoa; Chordata; Mammalia; Rodentia; Sciuridae.